UGAGUAACCUGCCCUUAACUCUGGGAUAAGCCUGGGAAACUGGGUCUAAUACCGGAUAUGACUCCUCAUAGCAUGGUGGGGGGUGGAAAGCUUUUUGUGGUUUUGGAUGGACUCGCGGCCUAUCAGCUUGUUGGUGAGGUAAUGGCUCACCAAGGCGACGACGGGUAGCCGGCCUGAGAGGGUGACCGGCCGCACUGGGACUGAGACACGGCCCAGACUCCUACGGGAGGCAG
Molecule: ribosomal RNA, 233 nt
Filed under: uncultured bacterium
Lineage: Bacteria
Description: partial 16S ribosomal RNA
Rfam family: Bacterial small subunit ribosomal RNA
Source: RNAcentral